GAAACCACAACAAGGUUCAAGAUAAGCCCGGAAGUUGAGGGCACCCAGCAUCUGUACCUUUCUUCACACCGCAUUUGAACAGCUGAGCUCUGCCAUCCGCAUUUGUGUUAGCACUGGGAAAAAACAGUUUGCUCUUGAAAAGCCGGUUACUUUCACUUUCAGUCUCUGGGGGGGAUGAACUGAGAAGCUCAUACUCAAAGCUGAAACAUCACCUAUAUGAUAUGAUUAUCAUUUUUUUUAUUUUGCUCUUAUUGAGCUUUUUCACCUAAAAGAACUUCACUUUUGGAGUCUAAUGCUGAAUUGCUCAAGUUAAACUGUGGCGUGAUGUUUUUAGUAGUGGACACUGUUGUCAUGGAAAAGGAACUGAAACAAGGAUCAUGAGGAACCAGACCACACAGCACGUAAACCCCGUCUGAACAACUGGCUGUAAUCUACCAAAGUAUUAAAACUAAGCAGUACUGGGAAAAAACAGUUUGCUCUUGAGAAGCUGGUCACUUUGACUUGCAGCCACUGGGGAGGAGGUGAACUGAAGAGGACACACUUGAAGAUUUAACAUCAGCAACAAUGUCAGACAGUGAGAGAUUACUACACAUCAGCACAUCCCAUAAACCCCCGCCAACAAUGUCAGUAUGUUUUCAAGUGCUUAUGUGCAUCAUGGCCUUCACUCAGGUAGCAAUAGGUG
Molecule: long non-coding RNA, 682 nt
Organism: Monopterus albus (swamp eel)
Lineage: Eukaryota; Metazoa; Chordata; Actinopteri; Synbranchiformes; Synbranchidae
Exons: 3
Source: RefSeq, a predicted model, not a curated record